AAAAUCAUACUAUACAGAAUCAUUUCUGCAGUGUGUAUUUCACAGUACCAAACAAACGUUUCGAUUGUCAAACCAACGUUAAUGAGAAAUAAUCGGAGAUGA
RNAcentral lists this small nucleolar RNA (102 nucleotides) under Dictyocaulus viviparus (bovine lungworm). Its description in RNAcentral is "Small nucleolar RNA U3". It matches the Rfam family "Small nucleolar RNA U3", at positions 1 to 103 of the family's 219-position model. From Rfam's summary of the family: Small nucleolar RNAs (snoRNAs) are involved in the processing and modification of rRNA in the nucleolus. There are two main classes of snoRNAs: the box C/D class, and the box H/ACA class. U3 snoRNA is a member of the box C/D class. Lineage: Eukaryota; Metazoa; Nematoda; Chromadorea; Rhabditida; Metastrongylidae. The record is from Rfam by way of RNAcentral.